CCCUUAGAUGUUCUGGGCCGCACGCGCGCUACACUGACGAAUGCAACGAGCUUAUAACCUUGGCCGAAAGGUCUGGGUAAUCUCCAAAUUUCGUCGUGAUGGGGAUAGAUUAUUGCAAUUAUUAAUCUUCAACGAGGAAUGCCUAGUAAGCGCAAGUCAUCAGCUUGCGUUGAUUACGUCCCUGCCCUUUGUACACACCGCCCGUCGCUCCUACCGAUUGAAUGGUCCGGUGAAGCGUUCGGACCGCUUCCUUUGGACGGGCAACCGCCUGUUGGUCGUGGGAAGUUCGUUAAACCUUAUCAUUUAGAGGAAGGAGAAGUCGUAACA
This 327-nucleotide ribosomal RNA is filed under the name uncultured eukaryote. RNAcentral's name for it is "partial 18S ribosomal RNA". It matches the Rfam family "Eukaryotic small subunit ribosomal RNA", at positions 1470 to 1796 of the family's 1831-position model. The record is from RNAcentral.